Molecule: ribosomal RNA, 189 nt
Filed under: uncultured Clostridium sp.
Lineage: Bacteria; Bacillati; Bacillota; Clostridia; Eubacteriales; Clostridiaceae
Description: partial 16S ribosomal RNA
Rfam family: Bacterial small subunit ribosomal RNA
Source: RNAcentral
CCUACGGGAGGCAGCAGCCUACGGGAGCCAGCAGUGGGGAAUAUUGGGCAAUGGGCGAAAGCCUGACCCAGCAACGCCGCGUGAGGGAAGAAGGUCUUCGGAUUGUAAACCUCUGUCCUCAGGGACGAAAAAAAUGACGGUACCUGAGGAGGAAGCCCCGGCUAACUACGUGCCAGUAGCCGCGGUAAU